CCUGGAAGUUCUGAGGUU
This 18-nucleotide microRNA is filed under the name Ophiophagus hannah (king cobra). RNAcentral describes it as "oha-miR-875-3p". Its record names the gene oha-miR-875-3p. Lineage: Eukaryota; Metazoa; Chordata; Lepidosauria; Squamata; Elapidae. The record is from miRBase by way of RNAcentral.